This 75-nucleotide transfer RNA is filed under the name Plantibacter flavus. Its description in RNAcentral is "tRNA-Arg". It matches the Rfam family "tRNA". From Rfam's summary of the family: Transfer RNA (tRNA) molecules are approximately 80 nucleotides in length. Lineage: Bacteria; Bacillati; Actinomycetota; Actinomycetes; Micrococcales; Microbacteriaceae. The record is from RNAcentral.
GCCUCUGUAGCUCAAUGGAAGAGCAGUUCCGUCCUAAGGAAAGGGUUGGGGGUUCGAGUCCCUCCAGGGGCACUA